AUAUUUCGCAAUGGGGGAAACCCUGAUGCAGUGACGCCGCGUGAGCGAAGAAGGCNUUNNGGUCGNANAGCUCUGUCCUAAGGNNNNNAACGGACGGUANCUUAGGAGGAAGCCUCGGCUAACUACGUGCCAGCAGCCGCGGUAAUACGUAGGGGGCGAGCGUUAUCCGGAAUUAUUGGGCGUAAAGGGUGCGUAGGCGGCCUUUUAAGUCAGAUGUGAAAGGCUACGGCUUAACCGUAGUUAGCAUUUGAAACUAAAAGGCUUGAGUGCAGGAGAGGAGAGUGGAAUUCCUAGUGUAGCGGUGAAAUGCGUAGAUAUUAGGAGGAACACCAGUGGCGAAGGCGACUCUCUGGACUGCAACUGACGCUGAGGCACGAAAGCGUGGGGAGCGAACAGG
This 397-nucleotide ribosomal RNA is filed under the name uncultured bacterium. Its description in RNAcentral is "partial 16S ribosomal RNA". It matches the Rfam family "Bacterial small subunit ribosomal RNA", at positions 361 to 776 of the family's 1533-position model. The record is from RNAcentral.